AUGAGGAGCCUGGGGCGGCCGGCGAAGUCCAGGUCGCGGGUCUUCAUGGCCUCCUCCGCCGCGGCCGCGGAGGAGGCCACGACGGUGGGCACGCGGCCGAGCCGCAGGUGCAUGACCGGGCCGUGGGACGCGGCCAGCGACCGGAGGCUCCGGUGCGGCAGGCUCCCGAGCAGGUGGAGGUGGCCGACGACCGGCAGGCCCCGCGGCGACGGGGGCGCAUUGCUGCCGCGCCUGGUGGAGACGAGGACGGUGAUCACCACGACAAGGAAGGCGAGGAGGGUGAUGAGCACGGGCGAGUUCCACGGCUCAACAACCAUUUCUGCAACCAUUCUAGCUAGCUUGUGUCGUGUACCCAAGCUUAACCGGUAG
This 369-nucleotide ribosomal RNA is filed under the name Triticum aestivum (bread wheat). Its description in RNAcentral is "partial small subunit ribosomal RNA". The record is from RNAcentral. Lineage: Eukaryota; Viridiplantae; Streptophyta; Magnoliopsida; Poales; Poaceae.